CACAGAAAGGUCUGAAUCUCUGAACAAAUGGGAGUCUGUUUCAGCAGGAGGCUCUUCAGCAGGACGUUCUGAGGCUCAGCCAUAGAGUUAGAAAGAGGACUCAUCUUACUAUCUGUGGUAGAAGCCCUCAAUGGCAAUGUCCAUGCAGAAAACGGGCUAUAUACAGUACAUCUAUCUAGUCUAACUCUAUGGGCCCAGCUCUAAAUGUGUUGCUUAUUGGUUUCCUUGCCCAGGGAAGUGCUGCUGCUGGUUGGGUUGCUGUUACUGCUUCAGUGUGACAGGAAAAGUGGUGCUGCUGUUUAAACAGGUUGCUGUUACUGCUACAGUGUGACAGGAAAAGUGCUGCUGCUGUUUAAACAGGUUGCUGUUACUGCUACAGUGUGACAGGAAAAGUGCUGCUGCUGUUUAAACAGGUUGCUGUUACUGCUACAGUGUGACAGGAAAAGUGCUGCUGCUGUUUAAACAGGUUGCUGUUACUGCUACAGUGUGACAGGAAAAGUGCUGCUGCUGUUUAAACAGGUUGCUGUUACUGCUACAGUGUGACAGGAAAAGUGCUGCUGCUGUUUAAACAGGUUGCUGUUACUGCUACAGUGUGACAGGAAAAGUGCUGCUGCUGUUUAAACAGGUUGCUGUUACUGCUACAGUGUGACAGGAAAAGUGCUGCUGCUGUUUAAACAGGUUGCUGUUACUGCUUCAGUGUGACAGGAAAAGUGCUGCUGCUGUUUAAACAGGUAUGUAGGUUUGGAAGACGUUCCGGCUGCUGGAUGAAUAACAUACUGUAAAGAGCCCAUCUCUUCAGCAGUUGUCAGAUCUAUAUUAUGGAAGUGGAGACGGUCAAGAUAAGAGUGCCGUGUUUGUAACGUGUGUGUAGUGAGUAUCAG
This is a long non-coding RNA of Oncorhynchus keta (chum salmon), 881 nucleotides long. RefSeq lists it as uncharacterized. The record is from RefSeq and is a predicted model, not a curated record. The transcript is spliced from 4 exons. Lineage: Eukaryota; Metazoa; Chordata; Actinopteri; Salmoniformes; Salmonidae.